AGGAGCGUAGCUCAGUUGGUAGAGCAUCGGUCUCCAAAACCGAGGGCCGUGGGUUCGAGUCCCCCCGCUCCUGCCA
This 76-nucleotide transfer RNA is filed under the name Novosphingobium capsulatum. RNAcentral describes it as "tRNA-Trp". It matches the Rfam family "tRNA". From Rfam's summary of the family: Transfer RNA (tRNA) molecules are approximately 80 nucleotides in length. Their secondary structure includes four short double-helical elements and three loops (D, anti-codon, and T loops). The record is from RNAcentral. Lineage: Bacteria; Pseudomonadati; Pseudomonadota; Alphaproteobacteria; Sphingomonadales; Sphingomonadaceae. RNAcentral also lists the same sequence under 19 other names.